AGCAGCCGCGGUAAUUCCAGCUCCAAUAGCGUAUAUUAAAGUUGUUGCAGUUAAAAAGCUCGUAGUUGAAUUUCGGGAUCAAUAUAUCGGUCGUGCCUCCGGUAUGCACUGGUAUUAUUGAUUUCUACCUUCUGACGAAUCAUGAUGUCAUUAAUUUGGUGUCAUGGGGAAUCAGGACUGUUACUUUGAAAAAUUAGAGUGUUUAAAGCAGGCACACGCUUGAAUACAUUAGCAUGGAAUAAUGAAAUAGGACGUUUGACCCUAUUUUGUUGGUUUCUAGGAUCGACGUAAUGAUUAAUAGGGAUAGUUGGGGGCAUUUAGUAUUCAAUUGUCAGAGGUGAAAUUCUUGGAUUUAUUGAAGACUAACUACUGCGAAAGCAUUUGCCAAGGAUGUUUUCGUUAAUCAAGAACGAAAGUUAGGGGAUCGAAGACGAUCAGAUACCGUCGUAGUCUUAACCAUAAACUAUGCCGACUAGGGAUCGGAUGAUGUUAAUUUUUAAUGACUUCAUUCGGACG
Molecule: ribosomal RNA, 516 nt
Filed under: uncultured Glomeromycotina
Lineage: Eukaryota; Fungi; Glomeromycota
Description: SSU rRNA
Rfam family: Eukaryotic small subunit ribosomal RNA
Source: RNAcentral